Long non-coding RNA from Canis lupus familiaris (dog), 891 nucleotides. RefSeq lists it as uncharacterized. The record is from RefSeq and is a predicted model, not a curated record. The transcript is spliced from 3 exons. Lineage: Eukaryota; Metazoa; Chordata; Mammalia; Carnivora; Canidae.
AGCACCCAAGGAGGAGCCGGGCACGGGGCAGGCGUGGCAGGGGAAGCCCAGAGGAGAUGAAAUCUGAGCUGUGCCUUCACAGUAGCUUGGCCCUCGGAAGUGGGAGAGUGGGCGAGGACUCCGGAGACACCUCAGCCUGCAGUAUGGAGACAAGAGGACCCUCAUGUUAAGCUAAAGAAGCAGAAGCACCCACUCUCAUUGGCUGAGACAUGGUCCUGGGCCAGACCCAAGACCCAGGCACCAGCUGCCUUCUAAUUCAAACCAUCAGGACGGGGAGGCUUACAUGUGCUGAGUCUCAAAACGCCUGUAGAAAGAAAACUGCUCCCCACACCAGACAGGAGCCAGACGGGGCAGCAGGUUUGGUCAAGAGGCCUCCGGACAAAAGACUGUGAGAGCCUCGCUGGGCACCCUCACAUCCAACCCAGGUCCUCACCUGACACCUUCCAUGGGACACGUUUGGCACUGGUCACUCUACCCACAUCCAAGAGGGCCCACCACCCACCAGGAACUGCAAGGCUUUGGAGAGAUCAUCAUAGCUGUUAUUGUAGUUCACGCCGAUUGAGCUUGUGUUGUACGCCAGCAACUAUGCUAAGUGCUUUAUGUUCACUAUCUCUUGACCACCUACUAUUAUUCCAUUUUGCAGAAGAGAAUGAUGAGUCUUAGCAAAGUGAAAAGCCUCUGCCUCAGGUCCUCCAGCAAGAAGGAAAGAGGUGGGCUCCCAACCCUGGGUCUGCCUCCAGGGCUUCACUGCUCCAGGGCCUUGCCGCCCAGCAAAUACAAGAUGUAAGCAUCCAUAUGCACACUCACGCACACACUCUGUUCAUGGUGAAUUUUAUCAAUAUAAACCGGCUGCCAUCAUCCCGUUAAAUACAAUUCCUUCCUCCUUGUUAA